GAGGAAAGAUGGGGUGUAGGGACGGCCGGAGCGCGAGCCCCGCGACUGAGCUGGGGUUGAGGAAAGCCAGGCGCCGCGAGGGCGAGAUGAGGCGGGGCGGGGGGACAGGAACUCGGAGCUGAGGCCUGGAGAGCGGCCCGGGAGCCAGCUGUGGGGAAACAGGCAGGACUGCAGCAGGAGCCGGCUGAAGGGGACAGAGUAAAGGGACUUUUUUUAUUUACUUAAUUUGUAUCAACGGUCAAAUUAGGCAAAACUAAUUCCAAACCCAAGUGACCAGAACUAUAAGUGGCCCUAUUAGGCAAACAUCCCCCACCUGCAUCUGGGGCUUAGGAUGUUUCUAAAAUCUUUGGCAGGCAUCCUACUUGCAGGCCUAAGACUGGAAACUUAGGGUUUAGAUGCCCCUAAGUUUUGCUUGCCCUUAGCUAUAAAGCCCUCGAAGCAAGCAAAGGGCCCCAUUUCCAUAAACUGGGUUUAAAGCUGCUGCACCUCAGCAGGUACUGAACCAUACCAGAAGAGCAGUUGUCCCAGGGUGUGCUUCACGAAACCUGCCUUUUUGGACACAGAUGCAUGGUUCUUCCCCUGCUAGGUUAAGAAGCCACUACACUUGUCCUGAGCCUUCAAAGAGGGACUUGGUCUUCUGCGUGACACGGCAGAAAAGCAUAGCCUGCAGCAGAGGGGAGCAAUCUGCAAAACUCCCUAGCUUUGUACAUACCCCUCCCUCCAGCCCAGGAGGCAGCCACCUCAUCAUAUCAGGCUUUAACUCUACUGAGAUCAUCCAGAUAUCAAUAGGAGGCCAGUAAUGGCCUUUGUUUCCUUCCAUUUCCCUUUCCUAAAAUCCUAGAACUUUACACACAGUGUUGAUGUGACACUGAGCAUUAUUCAGACUGUAAAAUCAAGCACUGAAGUUAGGAAACAGCAGAAUUAAGGCAGAAUUAUGCCUUAAUCUCUGUGCUUAAAUUUCCAGCUGUAAAAUGCAGCUAAUAGGAUGCAAAUAAUAAAUGCAGCACAGAGGGUGUUGUGAUUUUCAGAAGCCCUCAGAUACUGUGGAAACAGAACUAGAAGAGAUCCCCACAUCCAAUCCUGUCAGUGACCUACUAAUACGCGUGUUGUUGACAUCAUGUUGCAUAAUCUGGCUCAUAAAUUUAGCAAGUGUUUGUUUAAAAUAGUUGUUCUGUUCCCUCUGCUAAUAUUAAGAAGCUGUUCUUGAACCUUACUCUUCUUUUGAUUGACAGGAUGGAGUUAUUAAUGUCUAGUUUAUAUCUUGUUCUUGUGUUAAUCUUUUAAGAUUAAACAGCUAUUUUCUCUCCCUAGUGUUUGCCCCCUGCCCUUCCCAAGCCCAUAGAGAGAGCCAUUAUAUUCCUCCCCAGCAUAGGCGACUCGGGGUCAGGGGAUAUACCCUCCCCUGAGAUUGGCCAAUGACAACAACGACACUGAUUUCUGGGGGCAGUCACCACUCACCACCCCCACUCACCACUACUACCACCUGCAGGCAGUCGCUGCUGGCCGAUACCAGCACCUUAAGUAUUAAUAAUGCCCAGUGUCCGGCAUGCUGAUUUUUCUCCCAUUUCAUUGCUAGAGUUCUUCAAAGUUUCAGCAUCCGAGUCAAGAAGUCAACAGGGCAGCCAGUUGGCAGCAGGAGAAGGAACAAGCCCAAGCAGGCAGAGACAUUUAUCCCAGUAGAAGUGGGAGCAAGUAGUGAGGGUGAAGUAGAUGACGACUUUAAAUUUUAAUGAAGAUCAGAACCAGCAGCCCAGGGACUAAGAAGCUGAGCAUUACUUCUCAUCUGUGAGAAAACUUAUCUGAGAUGCCACCUACUAUGAAAAAACUAUUAAUCUGUUAUAACACAAGCAUCCCCUCAUCUGCCCAUGUAAAGCAAUUGUUCAGUA
Alligator sinensis (Chinese alligator) is the source of this 1886-nucleotide long non-coding RNA. RefSeq lists it as uncharacterized. The transcript has 3 exons. The record is from RefSeq and is a predicted model, not a curated record. NCBI's taxonomy places the organism in Eukaryota, Metazoa, Chordata, Crocodylia, Alligatoridae.